This 510-nucleotide ribosomal RNA is filed under the name uncultured bacterium. RNAcentral's name for it is "partial 16S ribosomal RNA". It matches the Rfam family "Bacterial small subunit ribosomal RNA", at positions 28 to 507 of the family's 1533-position model. The record is from RNAcentral.
GACGAACGCUGGCGGCGUGCUUAACACAUGCAAGUCGAACGAAGAGCGAUGGACGCUUGCUUCUAUCAAUCUUAGUGGCGAACGGGUGAGUAACGCGUAAUCAACCUGCCCUUCAGAGGGGGACAACAGUUGGAAACGACUGCUAAUACCGCAUACGAUCUAAUCUCGGCAUCGAGGAUAGAUGAAAGGUGGCCUCUACAUGUAAGCUAUCAUUGAAGGAGGGGAUUGCGUCUGAUUAGCUAGUUGGAGGGGUAACGGCCCACCAAGGCGAUGAUCAGUAGCCGGUCUGAGAGGAUGAACGGCCACAUUGGGACUGAGACACGGCCCAGACUCCUACGGGAGGCAGCAGUGGGGAAUCUUCCGAAAUGGACGAAAGUCUGACGGAGCAACGCCGCGUGAGGGAUGACGGCCUUCGGGUUGGAAAGCUCUGUUAAUCGGGACGAAAGGCCUUCUUGCGAAUAGUGAGAAGGAUUGACGGUACCGGAAGAGAAAGCCACGGCUAACUACGUG